This 497-nucleotide ribosomal RNA is filed under the name uncultured bacterium. Its description in RNAcentral is "partial 16S ribosomal RNA". It matches the Rfam family "Bacterial small subunit ribosomal RNA", at positions 28 to 507 of the family's 1533-position model. The record is from RNAcentral.
GAUGAACGCUGGCGGCGUGCCUAAUACAUGCAAGUCGAGCGAACGGACGAGAAGCUUGCUUUUCUGAUGUUAGCGGCGGACGGGUGAGUAACACGUGGAUAACCUACCUAUAAGACUGGGAUAAUUUCGGGAAACCGGAGCUAAUACCGGAUAAUAUUUUGAACCGCAUGGUUCAAAAGUGAAAGACGGUCUUGCUGUCACUUAUAGAUGGAUCCGCGCUGCAUUAGCUAGUUGGUAAGGUAACGGCUUACCAAGGCAACGAUGCAUAGCCGACCUGAGAGGGUGAUCAGCCACACUGGAACUGAGACACGGUCCAGACUCCUACGGGAGGCAGCAGUAGGGAAUAUUCCGCAAUGGGCGAAAGCCUGACGGAGCAACGCCGCGUGAGUGAUGAAGGUCUUCGGAUCGUAAAACUCUGUUAUUAGGGAAGAACAUAUGUGUAAGUAACUGUGCACAUCUUGACGGUACCUAAUCAGAAAGCAACGGCUAACUACGUG